AAUUAUUUAUAGCCUCUGGCUAUAGGAAAUUGUUAGUGGCAGACGGGUGAGUAAUGCGUAGGAAUCUACCUAGUAGUACGGAAUAGCCAUUAGAAAUGGUGGGUAAUACUGUAUAAUCCCCGAGGGGGAAAGAUUUAUCGCUAUUAGAUGAGCCUACGUUAGAUUAGCUAGUUGGUGAGGUAAUGGCUUACCAAGGCUAUGAUCUAUAGCUGGUCUGAGAGGACGAUCAGCCACACUGGAACUGAGAUACGGUCCAGACUCCUACGGGAGGCAGCAGUGGGGAAUAUUGGACAAUGGGCGAAAGCCUGAUCCAGCUAUGCCGCGUGAGUGAAGAAGGCCUUCGGGUUGUAAAACUCUUUCAAUAGGGAAGAUAAUGACGGUACCUAUA
RNAcentral lists this ribosomal RNA (388 nucleotides) under Ehrlichia canis. RNAcentral describes it as "bacterial SSU rRNA". It matches the Rfam family "Bacterial small subunit ribosomal RNA", at positions 65 to 483 of the family's 1533-position model. The record is from RNAcentral. Lineage: Bacteria; Pseudomonadati; Pseudomonadota; Alphaproteobacteria; Rickettsiales; Anaplasmataceae.